AGAAAGCCUUGCCUCCCCAGUUGGCAGCAACGAAUCCAAAGAAAAGUUAUGGCCAAUUUGACAUCUACGAGCAGGAAUCUCCAAUGUCCGACUGCUGUGAAUGCAGCACGAGAUGACGUCAGAGCAAGAGACGCUUCGUUUGUAAAACUGAGUGGCGCGAAGCGAAGAGCAGGAGUCGCGAGGAAAGGAGACACGGGAGGAAAGAGACGUAUCCAUGUCCAGGUGUGAGGUGCCAGUGCAGCCAAAGCAAGAGAGUUUCCCUGAGUCCCUCCAGGAGCAGGAGAAUCUUCUGCAGCCACUGGUACAAAUCUCACCUGGUUAGAAGACUCGCAGUCCAAACAUGCAGUGCACUGUUUUGCAUGUAGGCAUUUUUCCCUCCCGAUGCUCCAAGGACUGUUUUCAUCUCAUUCAAGGGUUAUCGUAAGUGGAAAAAAGCUGAAAUGAAAGACAGUGGUUUCUGUUUCUGGUCCCAGCUGUGACUUUACUGAGGUUCACCCAGUGUUAGCAGCAGGAGGACAGUCAGCUCACCUCCCAGAGCCUCCAGCUGAAUCACUGGACACUGAUUUAGGGACCGUCAUUAAAUUACUGAGCACAAAUAUAUUCAUACUAAAUAAUUGCAGUUUUUUCGAUAUCUUCAAUGUCAUGUGACCCACUGACUCCAAACCAGCAGUAUAUAAGCAGCGGUAUUUAAAAAUAAAUUAGAUUCAACAAAUACGUUUCUGCAUUGUGCCAUUUUUUGUAAUUCUCAGUCUGGCAAUAUUUUUUUUCACAAAUCUCACCAGUAGUCUUUAUUUAAAGGGUUAUAUUUCUGAUUCAUUAACUAGAUUUUGUAAGUUAAUGACUCAGAGCACCGCUGCUACAAAUAUUUAUAGAGGAAAAACUGUGUUAUAGUUUUUUAAUGUCUCUUCUUUUACAUGUACAGUAUACAGCCUGUAUGAACCUACUCACACAAUGUUUCUGUACUUUUUCAGACUGGGGGCAAUAUGGACUUUUGUAUGACUUCUUUUCAGGUUGAUGGAGAUGUUCUUAUGUAACAUACCCUUUUGUAACUCUGUGAGCCUUUUUGUGUAAUUUGUUGAUACAGCAGCUCAGAUUUACAUGCAUGAAAUGUCCCUUUCAUGUCUCCUUAACUGCUGUGAAUACUGUAUAUAUUGUACUGUAUUUCUCAUGACUUUAUCAGUAAAGACCUGACCUGUCAAACAGUGUUCAAGCUACUGAGGGACAAAUAGGGAGAAUGUGUGUUCUGAGUAAACAAUAAAAGCGAUGUCCAGCACCUUGUUUGAGUGCCGUGCCCAUUUAUUACUACAGUGUAUUUACGCUCACCUUAGUACAGCUCAGUCCAUAGAUCUUCAUGGGUAAGUUUUUAUUUGGAUUGUUUCUUCUUGUACAAAUGCUGUCUGCAACACUGGCACUCUGACACAGUCAAAUCUGUUUGCUUCCCCUCUCACACAUCUGCCACUUAUCACCUGUGUCUUACCUUAAUGCCUUUCCUGUGAUAAUG
This is a long non-coding RNA of Sparus aurata (gilthead seabream), 1501 nucleotides long. NCBI's taxonomy places the organism in Eukaryota, Metazoa, Chordata, Actinopteri, Spariformes, Sparidae. The record is from Ensembl.